RNAcentral lists this ribosomal RNA (568 nucleotides) under Aspergillus sp. DHE 4. RNAcentral describes it as "eukaryotic LSU rRNA". The stretch from base 188 to 341 matches the Rfam family "5.8S ribosomal RNA". Lineage: Eukaryota; Fungi; Ascomycota; Eurotiomycetes; Eurotiales; Aspergillaceae. The record is from RNAcentral.
UUGCUUGCGGAGUGUAGGUUCUAGCGAGCCCAACCUCCCACCCGUGUUUACUGUACCUUAGUUGCUUCGGCGGGCCCGCCAUUCAUGGCCGCCGGGGGCUCUCAGCCCCGGGCCCGCGCCCGCCGGAGACACCACGAACUCUGUCUGAUCUAGUGAAGUCUGAGUUGAUUGUAUCGCAAUCAGUUAAAACUUUCAACAAUGGAUCUCUUGGUUCCGGCAUCGAUGAAGAACGCAGCGAAAUGCGAUAACUAGUGUGAAUUGCAGAAUUCCGUGAAUCAUCGAGUCUUUGAACGCACAUUGCGCCCCCUGGUAUUCCGGGGGGCAUGCCUGUCCGAGCGUCAUUGCUGCCCAUCAAGCACGGCUUGUGUGUUGGGUCGUCGUCCCCUCUCCGGGGGGGACGGGCCCCAAAGGCAGCGGCGGCACCGCGUCCGAUCCUCGAGCGUAUGGGGCUUUGUCACCCGCUCUGUAGGCCCGGCCGGCGCUUGCCGAACGCAAAUCAAUCUUUUUCCAGGUUGACCUCGGAUCAGGUAGGGAUACCCGCUGAACUUAAGCAUAUCUAAGCCGGGAA